Molecule: long non-coding RNA, 1221 nt
Organism: Carassius auratus (goldfish)
Lineage: Eukaryota; Metazoa; Chordata; Actinopteri; Cypriniformes; Cyprinidae
Exons: 2
Source: RefSeq, a predicted model, not a curated record
AUCAGUAAACACAUUAUUGAUUACGUAUAUUUGUACAGGCAAGCAUAUGAACCCAGUACAAACGCAAUGUACAAAGUUUCACGUAAAAUGGUUUCCCAUAGAAAACGAUUAUAAGGAAAACACUAAACCAUUAAGCGGAUUGCGUUCAUAUUCCGACCACAUCUGCUUGUCUAUGUAAGUAAAUAUUUACGUCUAUGGUUUUGUCAUCCCGCUCAUCCGCUAAAACCUGCGUAGCAACAGGACACACCUCUCCUGGCACUAUGGAUUUGUGAGCCAAUCACGAUUGAGUUUCAGCAUUGACGUCGUUUUUGUUGAUACUUCGAUUAGCUGGCCAUCCGCGAAACGUCACUGCAGAAGCACGCGCUCCUGACCUUCGACAUCCACCGAGCGUUUUCUGCCUGGAAACACUGCGAGCUUCCUGAGGCUGGAGUCGGAGUUGGGUAAAGUCUUGCUGUGCCUCGGCUUGUUAAUGCACUAUUGAUCUGUUUUUGUCCCUGUCACGGUGACAAACGCUCCCAACUGCUUGUGGCGUCUAAAUGGGAUCUGAUCAGAGUACCAGUUUGGCUGCUGACCAGCAGCAGAAGGAUUCAGGCAAUCUGUCAUUGAAAGGUGAAGUAUCUUCAUCCAAUGCCCAAACCGAUACUGGUCCUGAGCCCCAGGACAGUCUGGAUCCAGACACUGACUUGCCCCAAUGCCGAAUGGGCAACAGAAAGGUAGACGACAUGAGCUUUAUGAUAUCCUGCACUAACUGGUAUUAAAAACCAAAGAAGCACUGUGAAAGAACUGACUAGACUGGGCGUUUCGUUUCCGACAACGGAAGACAUGCUGGUGCUGUAGUUGCAGUGCAAUGGGUUUGAUGUGAUUUAUGCCUUUUAUAAGUUGUGCAAUGUGUUUGAAGACAUAGAGAAUAAAGUUAGUGCACUAGCUGUGCAUGUACUGAUUGCAUGAUAUCAAAAGCUUGUAGUAUGUAGUUGAUAUCAACCUGUGAUAAUUAAGUAUGUAUGUAUAUAUAUAUAUAUAUAUGUCAUUAUAUAAUGCAUCAAACAUCACUUGGCAUUUCUGUAAUUUUAUUUUAUUGACAUUUCUUUGAACAUGGUGAUAGUAGAUACACAGUGUAAAACUGUAGACUGAAAACCGAAAUAAAAACGACUCCUUGUUUACAGAAUUAAAAACAAGAUUUAAGAAAUAAAACUUAAAUCAUUUCUAAUAUUUAUAAAUCAA